ACAACUUGAACUACUCUUGUUUCAGCUUGUGUCAAGAACGAUUGGAUUACAAUUUUCAGCGACGGAUAUCUUGGCUCGAGCACCUAUGAAGGGCGCAGCGAAGUGCGAUAAUCGUUGUGAAUUGCAGAACUCCGUGAACCAAUGGCCUCUUGAACGUGCAUUGCGCUCUUGGGAUAUGCCUGAGAGCAUGUCUGCUUCAGUGCUU
This 205-nucleotide ribosomal RNA is filed under the name Symbiodinium microadriaticum. RNAcentral's name for it is "5.8S ribosomal RNA". The stretch from base 51 to 205 matches the Rfam family "5.8S ribosomal RNA". From Rfam's summary of the family: 5.8S ribosomal RNA (5.8S rRNA) is a component of the large subunit of the eukaryotic ribosome. It is transcribed by RNA polymerase I as part of the 45S precursor that also contains 18S and 28S rRNA. The record is from RNAcentral. Lineage: Eukaryota; Dinophyceae; Suessiales; Symbiodiniaceae.